RNAcentral lists this ribosomal RNA (605 nucleotides) under Kocuria sp. RNAcentral describes it as "bacterial SSU rRNA". It matches the Rfam family "Bacterial small subunit ribosomal RNA", at positions 379 to 993 of the family's 1533-position model. The record is from RNAcentral. Lineage: Bacteria; Bacillati; Actinomycetota; Actinomycetes; Micrococcales; Micrococcaceae.
AAACCUGAUGCAGCGACGCCGCGUGAGGGAAGACGGCCUUCGGGUUGUAAACCUCUUUCAGCAGGGAAGAAGCCACAAGUGACGGUACCUGCAGAAGAAGCGCCGGCUAACUACGUGCCAGCAGCCGCGGUAAUACGUAGGGCGCAAGCGUUGUCCGGAAUUAUUGGGCGUAAAGAGCUCGUAGGCGGUUUGUCGCGUCUGCUGUGAAAGCCCGGGGCUUAACCCCGGGUGUGCAGUGGGUACGGGCAGACUAGAGUGCAGUAGGGGAGACUGGAAUUCCUGGUGUAGCGGUGGAAUGCGCAGAUAUCAGGAGGAACACCGAUGGCGAAGGCAGGUCUCUGGGCUGUUACUGACGCUGAGGAGCGAAAGCAUGGGGAGCGAACAGGAUUAGAUACCCUGGUAGUCCAUGCCGUAAACGUUGGGCACUAGGUGUGGGGGACAUUCCACGUUUUCCGCGCCGUAGCUAACGCAUUAAGUGCCCCGCCUGGGGAGUACGGCCGCAAGGCUAAAACUCAAAGGAAUUGACGGGGGCCCGCACAAGCGGCGGAUCAUGCGGAUUAAUUCGAUGCAACGCGAAGAACCUUACCAAGGCUUGACAUAUACCG